GCGAGAUGCCCCGUAAAUCUACUGUAUGAUCAAUCAAAACACGUUUUGUCCAAAGUCCAAACUUAAUGGUGUGAUAUUGUGGCAUAUUUACCCUGGAGCUAGCAUAUAUAUGGAGCUGACUUUGUUCCUGGAGGAGCAGACACAGAGGAGGAAUCUGCUACCUCAAAGCAGUUGAUCGACGCCGGGAGGGUGGGUAUGUGAUGUCGGAGGCUGCCGGGAGGGUGGUGACGAGCUACCGAAG
Non-coding RNA from Triticum urartu, 241 nucleotides. Lineage: Eukaryota; Viridiplantae; Streptophyta; Magnoliopsida; Poales; Poaceae. The record is from RefSeq and is a predicted model, not a curated record.